Molecule: long non-coding RNA, 310 nt
Organism: Rosa chinensis
Lineage: Eukaryota; Viridiplantae; Streptophyta; Magnoliopsida; Rosales; Rosaceae
Exons: 3
Source: RefSeq, a predicted model, not a curated record
AUGCUUUCAUUGAAACAGAAUGAUAACAAAUAAGGGCCCUGGAAGUUUAGGUCUCUAGCUUAUGGAUUAUAAAGUUUUGCUUCAAUAUGUGCUCCCAAGGUAUUUCAGCUCAAAAUGGUCAGUGGCCAAAUUUCACUUGCAGGAAGGUCUACAACAUAUUGUUGCCUUUGGCAAGCGGAAGAAUACCAUCAUGAUCAUUGGCAUGGAUGGAAGUAGAAAAUGAUGCAAAAAAUGAAGAGGCUGAUAUUGAGGAGCUAGCAGUUGCAAAUCAGGUGGCAAAGUAAUUGUGAAUGGAACAGCAGUUGGAAUG